AGCAGUCGCCACGGGAAUACGAAGGGUGCAAGCGUUAAUCGGAAUUACUGGGCGUAAAGCGUGCGUAGGCGGUGAGUUAAGUCUGCUGUGAAAUUCCCGGGCUUAACCUGGGAACUGCGCUUGUGACUGCACAGCUAGAGUAUGGCAGAGGGGGGUGGAAUUCCACGUGUAGCAGUGAAAUGCGUAGAGAUGUGGAGGAACACCGAUGGCGAAGGCAGCCCCCUGGGCCAAUACUGACGCUCAUGCACGAAAGCGUGGGGAGCAAACAGGAUUAGAUACCCCGGUAGUCCCUGUCUCUUAUAC
Molecule: ribosomal RNA, 303 nt
Filed under: uncultured bacterium
Lineage: Bacteria
Description: partial 16S ribosomal RNA
Rfam family: Bacterial small subunit ribosomal RNA
Source: RNAcentral